This 252-nucleotide ribosomal RNA is filed under the name uncultured bacterium. RNAcentral describes it as "partial 16S ribosomal RNA". It matches the Rfam family "Bacterial small subunit ribosomal RNA", at positions 100 to 354 of the family's 1533-position model. The record is from RNAcentral.
CGUGGUGAGUAACGCGUGAGGAACCUGCCUUCCAGAGGGGGACAACAGUUGGAAACGACUGCUAAUACCGCAUGAAACAUUUGAACCGCAUGGUUUGAAUGUCAAAGAUUUAUCGCUGGAAGAUGGCCUCGCGUCUGAUUAGCUAGUAGGCGGGGUAACGGCCCACCUAGGCGACGAUCAGUAGCCGGACUGAGAGGUUGACCGGCCACAUUGGGACUGAGAUACGGCCCAGACUCCUACGGAAGGCAGCAG